Molecule: ribosomal RNA, 440 nt
Filed under: uncultured bacterium
Lineage: Bacteria
Description: partial 16S ribosomal RNA
Rfam family: Bacterial small subunit ribosomal RNA
Source: RNAcentral
CCUACGGGUGGCAGCAGUGGGGGCUAUUGCACAAUGGGGGAAACCCUGAUGCAGCGACGCCGCGUGUGGGAAGACGGUCCUCUGGAUUGUAAACCACUGUCCCCAGGGACGAAGAUGACGGUACCUGGGGAGGAAGCUCCGGCUAACUACGUGCCAGCAGCCGCGGUAAUACGUAGGGAGCGAGCGUUGUCCGGAAUUACUGGGUGAAAAGGGAGCGUAGGCGGGGAUGCAAGUUGGGUGUAAAAACUACCGGCUCAACUGGUAGUCGCACUCAAAACUGCAGCUCUUGAGUGAAGUAGAGGACGGCGGAAUUCCUAGUGUAGCGGUGAAAUGCGUAGAUAUUAGGAGGAACACCAGUGGCGAAGGCGGCCUGCUGGGCUUUUACUGACGCUGAGGCUCGAAAGCGUGGGGAGCAAACAGGAUUAGAUACCCCGGUAGUC